ACGGCCGUACCAUGCUGAAUAUACCGAUUCUCGUUAGAUCACCGAAGUCAAGCAUCAUUGGGCGCGGUCAGUACUUGGGUGGGUGACCACCUGGGAAACACCGCGUGCCGU
RNAcentral lists this ribosomal RNA (111 nucleotides) under Caerostris darwini. The record is from RNAcentral. Lineage: Eukaryota; Metazoa; Arthropoda; Arachnida; Araneae; Araneidae.